UGAAGCAGUGGUCUUAUGGUAGAAUACAAGGCUUCCUAGAUAGCAAAAUGCAAGUAGUCGUGAUGGAUGUAUGAAACAGAGGCUGUCAAAUGGAAGGAAUAUGGUUAAGAAAUUAGAAUGUUCAAAAACUACAAGAUACUUGGGGGGCAUGUUUUGGGAGUGGCUAUCCUUGAUAAUGGGUGUCAUUGUAUUGGGGCUAUGAUGGUAGGCUAUCAUCUAGUCAUGCUGAUAAAAAUAUUCAAGAAUUGCUUCAGAAGUUUGUGUGAAGGAUUUUUAGUUUAUCAAGAUCAAUAUCAGGGACAACUUUCAUAUUUUUACUCAUCACAACUCAAUAUGCAUUGGUUGGAGAAAACUAUGGAGGAAACUUGCAUAUGUCAUUGAAGGAUUAAUGCUACACUUAUUGUGUGAUUCUCUGCUUGAUUAACCUCGUUCCAAUGUCCAAGCAGUGCACUGUGCAAUUCAUGAGGGAUAAUUACCUUUAAACCACAAAGCAAAAUUUGGAGAGUGAAAACCAUAAAUUGGAGGCCUGUAUGAAAGUGUUCUGCUUGCGAGCCUAUGAGCCAGACAAGACAGUUCAAGCAUUGAGUUCGUUUUCGAAACAAGCUAUAUUAGGCCCAAGCUUCAGCUUCAUUAACUUCAUAACUGGGCCUAAUCCAAGCAUAACAGUUCCUGAGACAGAGAUGGGACCUCCCUGAUAAGAUUCUUACACCCUCUUGGAAACAUUUACAAGUUCUGUUGGUGUUGAAGUGCAUGGCAGUUAAGUUAUUGGAAAUACUUGAUUGUAGUAACUUGUGAAUUGCCGCUGCCUCUCCUGCUUCAAAUCUGCACCUUGUGUUGAAGUUCGAAAAUCUGUGUAUUUAAUACAUGAAAGUCCUGUCUGAAAUUGUGAGCUCUGGUUCCAUUUAGUUUUGUUGGGUUUAAUAUUUUGUAUAGUA
Molecule: long non-coding RNA, 935 nt
Organism: Quercus lobata
Lineage: Eukaryota; Viridiplantae; Streptophyta; Magnoliopsida; Fagales; Fagaceae
Exons: 5
Source: RefSeq, a predicted model, not a curated record